AGCGAACGCUGGCGGCAGGCCUAACACAUGCAAGUCGAACGAACUCUUCGGAGUUAGUGGCGGACGGGUGAGUAACACGUGGGAACGUGCCUUUUGGUUCGGAAUAACUCAGGGAAACUUGUGCUAAUACCGAAUGUGCCCUUCGGGGGAAAGAUUUAUCGCCAUUAGAGCGGCCCGCGUCUGAUUAGCUAGUUGGUGAGGUAACGGCUCACCAAGGCGACGAUCAGUAGCUGGUCUGAGAGGAGGACCAGCCACACUGGGACUGAGACACGGCCCAGACUCCUACGGGAGGCAGCAGUGGGGAAUCUUGCGCAAUGGGCGAAAGCCUGACGCAGCCAUGCCGCGUGAAUGAUGAAGGUCUUAGGAUUGUAAAAUUCUUUCACCGGGGACGAUAAUGACGGUACCCGGAGAAGAAGCCCCGGCUAACUUCGUG
RNAcentral lists this ribosomal RNA (433 nucleotides) under uncultured bacterium. RNAcentral's name for it is "partial 16S ribosomal RNA". It matches the Rfam family "Bacterial small subunit ribosomal RNA", at positions 29 to 507 of the family's 1533-position model. The record is from RNAcentral.